This 198-nucleotide ribosomal RNA is filed under the name uncultured Methanobrevibacter sp. RNAcentral's name for it is "partial 16S ribosomal RNA". It matches the Rfam family "Archaeal small subunit ribosomal RNA", at positions 344 to 542 of the family's 1478-position model. The record is from RNAcentral. Lineage: Archaea; Methanobacteriati; Methanobacteriota; Methanobacteria; Methanobacteriales; Methanobacteriaceae.
AAACCUCCGCAAUGUGAGAAAUCGCGACGGGGGGACCCCAAGUGCCAUUCUUAACGGGAUGGCUUUUCUUGAGUGUAAAAAGCUCUUGGAAUAAGAGCUGGGCAAGACCGGUGCCAGCCGCCGCGGUAACACCGGCAGCUCUAGUGGUAGCCAUUUUUAUUGGGCCUAAAGCGUUCCUAGCCGGUUUAAUAAGUCUCG